AUCCUACAGUAGAAUGUCUGGUGGCUGGAAAGGCCACCUUUGCUUUGCUCCUAUAACUGCAGUUAAGGCCACCUUAUGUGGUGAUUAUGACAACUUCCUGCAUUUAAAUGUCAUGAUUCAAGCAAUUGCAUUGAAGAGGUUGUUCAGCAAAAACAUAUUGACAUGGUCUGUCAUCUGCAGGCAAGCAGAGUGCUGACCCAGGCGUCAGAGUCACCUUUGAGGCAGGGAGAUUUAAAGUCUUCUGUGCAAGAAGAAGAGGGGAGCAAUUUUCAGAUUGCUUAAACAGAAGAAGAGAAUGGUUGAUAAGGGGAGGCAUGGCUGCAUUGGGUCCUUUCAGAUGCUUUGAAACUGCUUUUGAGGAAAAAAUACCUGAUUAAAAAUGGUGUUUUAUUAUAGGAUUCACUACUGAAUUGUGGUUUUUUUUGUUUUGUUUUGUUUUUUUUGUUUUCUUUCUGGAGUGUUCUCUAUUUUUCCAUUUUAGUUUUAUUGAGUCUGGAAUCUGUCAUGUAGUUACAAACUUAACCAACCUUUAAAAAGCUGGUUAAACUGAAGAGGGGAAAAAAGUCAAUACUUGCUCUCAGCUAUACAUUUAUUUAAAAAAACAAAGCACCAAAAUCUAUUACCCUUGCUUAUUUCACUUUGGCUUCCUGAGCUCAGUGCCUUAUUCUGGGACAAUGCUGCUAUUUUGAGCUUCUAAGCCCUUCUUCUGUUGUUUGAGUGCAAUGUGGACCAUGAAACAGUGCUGGGCAAGUAGUUCUAUUGGUUAUAGAGUACCCUGUAACAGCUCACUGUCUCUGUGGUCAGGCUGCUGUUGGUUGGGUUUAUCUGUUGUCUGCUGGGUACAGAAU
This 848-nucleotide long non-coding RNA is filed under the name Meleagris gallopavo (turkey). RNAcentral describes it as "lncRNA (ENSMGAG00000018848.1)". Lineage: Eukaryota; Metazoa; Chordata; Aves; Galliformes; Phasianidae. The record is from RNAcentral.